This 378-nucleotide ribosomal RNA is filed under the name Pinnularia sp. NE-P16. RNAcentral describes it as "SSU rRNA". It matches the Rfam family "Eukaryotic small subunit ribosomal RNA", at positions 582 to 968 of the family's 1831-position model. Lineage: Eukaryota; Bacillariophyta; Bacillariophyceae; Sellaphorales; Pinnulariaceae. The record is from RNAcentral.
AUUCCAGCUCCAAUAGCGUAUAUUAAAGUUGUUGCAGUUAAAAAGCUCGUAGUUGGAUUUGUGGCGCCGCCCGUGGUCCAAAAUGUUUUGGUGCCGUUGGGCGGUGCCAUCCUUGGGUGGAACCUGUGGGGCAUUAGGUUGUUUUGCAGGGGAUGCCCAUCGUUUACUGUGAAAAAAUUAGAGUGUUCAAAGCAGGCUUACGCCGUUGAAUAGAUUAGCAUGGAAUAAUGAGAUAGGACUUUGGUACUAUUUUGUUGGUUUGCGCACCGAAGUAAUGAUUAAUAGGGACAGUUGGGGGUAUUCGUAUUCCAUUGUCAGAGGUGAAAUUCUUGGAUUUUUGGAAGACGAACUACUGCGAAAGCAUUUACCAAGGAUGUU